Gossypium arboreum is the source of this 962-nucleotide long non-coding RNA. RefSeq lists it as uncharacterized. The record is from RefSeq and is a predicted model, not a curated record. NCBI's taxonomy places the organism in Eukaryota, Viridiplantae, Streptophyta, Magnoliopsida, Malvales, Malvaceae. The transcript has 2 exons.
AUGUCCAAGGUGCGGGUUGUGUCCAGAGUCUACAAUACAUAUGCUGCUAUGGUGUGGUCCUGCACAGGAAGUUUGGAACAAAUGAACUUCAUCUGGCCAACAGGAUCAAAUGAUCUCUCGAUGGCUACCUUCAAAAGGGCAGAACGUCAAGGUUAAUUUUGAUUGCGUUUAAGCUAGACUAACAUCGUUCGUGCUCUUGGUUUGGUAUUAGAAACGAAUCUGGGCUGGUAAUGAGAUGUGGGGUGCGGAUGAAUAGUUAUAUUGCAGAUGUUUUUUCUGCAGAAGCCAUGGCCUGCAUCCAAGCACUUCAAUUUGCAAGAGAUAUGGGUUUCUAUAACAGAGAGGUUGAGGGGGGCUUAAGGACUACGAUUAUUAAAGUCCAAAAAUGUACUUUGGAUUGAUUUGAAAUUGGUGAGCUUAUAGAAGAAAUCUUAUAUUUAGCUUUAACUUUUCACUCUAUUUCAUUUUGACAUACAGAUAGAUGAGUAAAUAUUGUAGCCCACAAGUUAGCAACAACAGGGUUUACAACGGGAAACACUAUGUUCUGGGUAGGAGAGGUACCUGAAGACAUACUAGAGGCGGUGCAUCGUGAUAUGGCCCUUUAGUUUCUUCCACCAAGAUCCAUUACAUCAAUCUUUUCUACUUCAUAUCAGGGAAUAAUGAACUCAACUUUACCAUUGGGUCGUCUUGUUGGUUUGAGGGCCCGUUUUGCUUUCUCACAUGAGAACUGGAAUCGUCAUAUCUGGUUUCACCGAGGCUCCUUUUACUUUUUUGCUUUUUUGUUUUGUGUUUUGUUUCAGUCAGUUUCAUUUUUGCUGUUUGUUUUAUUGCUUGUUUUGAGUACAACUGUGUGAAGGAUUCCCGAAUGUGAAAGGUACAGGGACACGUGGUUGGUUUAUGUUUUUGUAUCUGCUUUUUGUUUUGAUCCAUUAAUGAUGUCUCGGUUUUGUUAAAGAAAAUAA